Molecule: ribosomal RNA, 501 nt
Filed under: uncultured bacterium
Lineage: Bacteria
Description: partial 16S ribosomal RNA
Rfam family: Bacterial small subunit ribosomal RNA
Source: RNAcentral
AUUGAACGCUGGCGGCAGGCUUAACACAUGCAAGUCGAGCGGAGAUGAGGUGCUUGCACCUUAUCUUAGCGGCGGACGGGUGAGUAAUGCUUAGGAAUCUGCCUAUUAGUGGGGGACAACAUUCCGAAAGGAAUGCUAAUACCGCAUACGUCCUACGGGAGAAAGCAGGGGAUCUUCGGACCUUGCGCUAAUAGAUGAGCCUAAGGCGGAUUAGCUAGUUGGUGGGGGAAAGGCCUACCAAGGCGACGAUCUGUAGGGGGUCUGAGAGGAUGGACCGACACACUGGGACUGAGGAACGGGCCAGAACCCUAAGGGAGGCAGGAGUGGGGGAUAAUGGACAAUGGGGGAGACCCUGAUCCAGCCAUGCCGCGUGUGUGAAGAAGGCCUUAUGGUUGUAAAGCACUUUAAGCGAGGAGGAGGCUACUGAGACUAAUACUCUUGGAUAGUGGACGUUACUCGCAGAAUAAGCACCGGCUAACUCUGUGCCAGCAGCCGCCGUAA